UGGGGAAUUUUGGACAAUGGGCGCAAGCCUGAUCCAGCCAUGCCGCGUGCGGGAAGAAGGCCUUCGGGUUGUAAACCGCUUUUGUCAGGGAAGAAAUCUUCUGAGUUAAUACCUCGGGAGGAUGACGGUACCUGAAGAAUAAGCACCGGCUAACUACGUGCCAGCAGCCGCGGUAAUACGUAGGGUGCGAGCGUUAAUCGGAAUUACUGGGCGUAAAGCGUGCGCAGGCGGUCUUGCAAGACAGGUGUGAAAUCCUCGGGCUUAACCUGGGAACUGCACUUGUGACUGCAAGGCUGGAGUACGGCAGAGGGGGAUGGAAUUCCGCGUGUAGCAGUGAAAUGCGUAGAUAUGCGGAGGAACACCGAUGGCGAAGGCAAUCCCCUGGGCCUGUACUGACGCUCAUGCACGAAAGCGUGGGGAGCAAACAGGAUUAGAUACCCUGGUAGUCCACGCCUUAAACGAUGUCAACUGGUUGUUGGACGGCUUGCUGUUCAGUAACGAAGCUAACGCGUGAAGUUGACCGCCUGGGGAGUACGGCCGCAAGGUUG
RNAcentral lists this ribosomal RNA (548 nucleotides) under uncultured bacterium. Its description in RNAcentral is "bacterial SSU rRNA". It matches the Rfam family "Bacterial small subunit ribosomal RNA", at positions 355 to 896 of the family's 1533-position model. The record is from RNAcentral.